GAUGAACGCUGGCGGCGUGCCUAAUACAUGCAAGUCGAGCGAAUGGAUUAAGUGCUUGCUCUUAUGAAGUUAGCGGCGGACGGGUGAGUAACACGUGGGUAACCUGCCCAUAAGACUGGGAUAACUCCGGGAAACCGGGGCUAAUACCGGAUAACAUUUUGAACCGCAUGGUUCGAAAUUGAAAGGCGGCUUCGGCUGUCACUUAUGGAUGGACCCGCGUCGCAUUAGCUAGUUGGUGAGGUAACGGCUCACCAAGGCAACGAUGCGUAGCCGACCUGAGAGGGUGAUCGGCCACACUGGGACUGAGACACGGCCCAGACUCCUACGGGAGGCAGCAGUAGGGAAUCUCCGCAAUGGACGAAAGUCUGACGGAGCAACGCCGCGUGAGUGAUGAAGGCUUUCGGGUCGUAAAACUCUGUUGUUAAGGAAGAACAAGUGCUAGUUGAAUAAGCUGGCACCUUGACGGUACCUAACCAGAAAGCCACGGCUAACUACGUGCCAGCCGCCGCAGUAA
This 514-nucleotide ribosomal RNA is filed under the name uncultured bacterium. RNAcentral's name for it is "partial 16S ribosomal RNA". It matches the Rfam family "Bacterial small subunit ribosomal RNA", at positions 28 to 523 of the family's 1533-position model. The record is from RNAcentral.